RNAcentral lists this ribosomal RNA (459 nucleotides) under uncultured bacterium. Its description in RNAcentral is "partial 16S ribosomal RNA". It matches the Rfam family "Bacterial small subunit ribosomal RNA", at positions 338 to 795 of the family's 1533-position model. The record is from RNAcentral.
CCUACGGGUGGCUGCAGUGAGGAAUAUUGGUCAAUGGACGCAAGUCUGAACCAGCCAUGCCGCGUGCAGGAUGACGGCUCUAUGAGUUGUAAACUGCUUUUGUACGAGGGUAAACCCCGAUACGUGUAUCGGGUUGAAAGUAUCGUACGAAUAAGGAUCGGCUAACUCCGUGCCAGCAGCCGCGGUAAUACGGAGGAUCCGAGCGUUAUCCGGAUUUAUUGGGUUUAAAGGGUGCGUAGGCGGGCUGUUAAGUCAGCGGUCAAAUGUCGGGGCUCAACCCCGGCCUGCCGUUGAAACUGGCGGCCUCGAGUGGGCGAGAAGUAUGCGGAAUGCGUGGUGUAGCGGUGAAAUGCAUAGAUAUCACGCAGAACUCCGAUUGCGAAGGCAGCAUACCGGCGCCCUACUGACGCUGAGGCACGAAAGCGUGGGUAUCGAACAGGAUUAGAUACCCUUGUAGUC